Molecule: non-coding RNA, 73 nt
Organism: Podarcis lilfordi (Lilford's wall lizard)
Lineage: Eukaryota; Metazoa; Chordata; Lepidosauria; Squamata; Lacertidae
Source: the annotation of a GenBank genome assembly
GUAUUAGAGCUCAGUUGGUUAGAGCGCGGUGCUGAUAAGGCCAAGGUUGCAGGUUUGAUCCCCGUUUGGGACA